CGCGGCCUAUCAGCUUGUUGGUGAGGUAAUAGCUCACCAAGGCGAUGACGGGUAGCCGGCCUGAGAGGGUGACCGGCCACACUGGGACUGAGACACGGCCCAGACUCCUACGGGAGGCAGCAGUGGGGAAUAUUGGACAAUGGGCGAAAGCCUGAUCCAGCAACGCCGCGUGAGGGAUGACGGCCUUCGGGUUGUAAACCUCUUUUAGUAGGGAAGAAGCGAAAGUGACGGUACCUGCAGAAAAAGCACCGGCUAACUACGUGCCAGCAGCCGCGGUAAUACGUAGGGUGCAAGCGUUGUCCGGAAUUAUUGGGCGUAAAGAGCUCGUAGGCGGUUUGUCGCGUCUGCUGUGAAAACCCGAGGCCCAACCUCGGGCCUGCAGUGGGUACGGGCAGACUAGAGUGCGGUAGGGGAGAUUGGAAUUCCUGGUGUAGCGGUGGAAUGCGCAGAUAUCAGGAGGAACACCGAUGGCGAAGGCAGAUCUCUGGGCCGUAACUGACGCUGAGGAGCGAAAGCAUGGGGAGCGAACAGGAUUAGAUACCCUGGUAGUCCAUGCCGUAAACGUUGGGAACUAGAUGUGGGGACCAUUCCACGGUCUCCGUGUCGCAGCUAACGCAUUAAGUUCCCCGCCUGGGGA
RNAcentral lists this ribosomal RNA (637 nucleotides) under uncultured bacterium. RNAcentral's name for it is "bacterial SSU rRNA". It matches the Rfam family "Bacterial small subunit ribosomal RNA", at positions 232 to 879 of the family's 1533-position model. The record is from RNAcentral.